This 398-nucleotide ribosomal RNA is filed under the name uncultured bacterium. RNAcentral's name for it is "bacterial SSU rRNA". It matches the Rfam family "Bacterial small subunit ribosomal RNA", at positions 30 to 426 of the family's 1533-position model. The record is from RNAcentral.
AUUGAACGCUGGCGGCAUGCCUUUACACAUGCAAGUCGAACGGCAGCACGGGAGCAAUCCUGGUGGCGAGUGGCGAACGGGUGAGUAAUAUAUCGGAACGUGCCCAGUCGUGGGGGAUAACGUAGCGAAAGCUACGCUAAUACCGCAUACGAUCUAUGGAUGAAAGCGGGGGGAUCGCAAGACCUCGCGCGAUUGGAGCGGCCGAUAUCAGAUUAGCUAGUUGGUGGGGUAAAAGCCCACCAAGGCGACGAUCUGUAGCUGGUCUGAGAGGACGACCAGCCACACUGGAACUGAGACACGGUCCAGACUCCUACGGGAGGCAGCAGUGGGGAAUUUUUGGACAAUGGGCGAAAGCCUGAUCCAGCAAUGCCGCGUGCAGGACGAAGGCCUUCGGUUGU